RNAcentral lists this unclassified non-coding RNA (789 nucleotides) under Anthonomus grandis grandis. RNAcentral's name for it is "uncharacterized LOC126748304". The record is from RNAcentral. Lineage: Eukaryota; Metazoa; Arthropoda; Insecta; Coleoptera; Curculionidae.
ACUCCCGCUGUUCGGCGCCACGACUAUAAUAAUUCAAUUAAGUAACUCUUUUCUAUUUUUAGUGAUAAAUGUUGACUCCUGGCCGAGUCUUAUUAAUUGUUAUUCCCUACCCAAGUAUACAAUUGAAGAGUCAUUUAUAAAUGAAGAGACUCUGUGAUGAAUGCUUGUGCUACUCCAGGCUGCGUGAUAAGAAUUUGCAUCACAUCCAAGGUUACACUAUACGUUUUUAUUUUUGCAGGUUGUUUUGCAGCAUCAUCCGAGAAGUAUGGAGAGCUGAUGAUUGCCAUUACACCACCCGGGAAGAAGACGUGGGCCGCAAUGGUAUCCCGGUCGCAGAAAUCUGGGAUUGUUGCCAAGAGGUAGUUCGAUUACUUUACCAGUGGUUAUACCCAGUCCAGACUCGACGUUUAUUGGAGUUCCAUGGUUCUUGGAUCAGAGCGAGGUCGAAUUUGGUUUCAUCGAACAUUCUUGCGGAAUCGGUUCACCCCACUGCCACCUGGCUUGAGCCCUUUAGGUCCGCCCCCUCUGGGCGGUGAACGUGGUGGUUACUUUAGAAGGCGGCUGUUAUCGCAUAUCCUCAGCUUUUUGCUCUUGGGACGCCUUAGUCUUCUCGGACGAAACCGCACCUUACGGAAGUCAAAGAACAGUUUGAAGUUCAUUGACCUCAGCGUCUCCAUAGAUGCCUCGUCGACAGAAAAGACCGGGGUUUGAACCGGUCCCGAACACUCACGAUGUAGUACGAUCCGAUAUGUAUCCGAUCGAUCCUAAUGAAUUGGAUAUUGAUAUUGU